CCUACGGGAGGCAGCAGUGAGGAAUAUUGGUCAAUGGCCGAGAGGCUGAACCAGCCAAGUCGCGUGAGGGAAGAAUGUCCUAUGGAUUGUAACCCUCUUUUGUCAGGGAGCAAAGUCACCCACGUGUGGGUGUUGGAGAGUACCUGAAGAAAAAGCAUCGGCUAACGCCGUGCCAGCAGCCGCGGUAAUACCGAGGAUGCGAGCGUUAUCCCGAUUUCUUGGGUGUAAGGGGUGCGUGGGCGGGUUAUCAAGGCAGCGGUAAAAUCGUGGAGCUCAACCCCAUCCAGCCGUUGAAACUGAUGACCUUGAGUGGGCACGAAGUAUGCGGAAUGCGUGGUGUAGCGGUGAAAUGCAUAGAUAUCACGAAGAACUCCGAUUGCGAAGGCAGCAUACCGGCGCCCGACUGACGCUGAAGCACGAAAGCGUGGGUAUCGAACAGGAUUAGAUACCCGGGUAGUC
RNAcentral lists this ribosomal RNA (459 nucleotides) under uncultured bacterium. RNAcentral describes it as "partial 16S ribosomal RNA". It matches the Rfam family "Bacterial small subunit ribosomal RNA", at positions 338 to 795 of the family's 1533-position model. The record is from RNAcentral.